RNAcentral lists this ribosomal RNA (393 nucleotides) under uncultured bacterium. RNAcentral's name for it is "partial 16S ribosomal RNA". It matches the Rfam family "Bacterial small subunit ribosomal RNA", at positions 523 to 918 of the family's 1533-position model. The record is from RNAcentral.
AUACGGAGGAUGCAAGCGUUAUCCGGAUUUAUUGGGUUUAAAGGGUGCGUAGGCGGUUUGCUAAGCGGGAGGUGAAAUGCCGGCGCUCAACGUCGGAAGUGCCUCCCGAACUGGUGGACUUGAAUGACUCUGCCGUGGGAGGAAUGUGUAGUGUAGCGGUGAAAUGCUUAGAGAUUACACAGAACACCGAUUGAGAAGGCAUCUCACGAAGGGUUGAUUGACGCUGAGGCACGAAAGCGUGGGGAUCAAACAGGAUUAGAUACCCUGGUAGUCCACGCAGUAAACGAUGAUGGCUAACCGCUGGGCUUAUCAGUUCAGUGGCCAAGCGAAAGCGAUAAGCCAUCCACCUGGGGAGUACGACCGCAAGGUUGAAACUCAAAGGAAUUGACGGGG